CGUAGGCGGAUAAUUAAGAAUACAGUAAAAGACUGAGGAUUACCCUCUUUAAUCUGCAUUAACUGAUUAUCUGAGUUUCAUUGGCGGUUUAUUGAAUUCUUGAAGGAAGGGUGAAAUUGUUGAUAUUGGAAGACAUUCGAUAGCGAAAGCAUUAACCGAGGUGAAUCUGACGCUAGGUACUAAAGUAUGGGGAUAAAUAGGAUUAGAGACCUAGUAGUCCAUACCUUAACAAUGAGUGUUUAACAUCUUUUGGCAUUCGUGCCAUCUGGGGUUUAAAGCUAACGCGUGAAACACCGCCUGGGGACUGUGGCCGCAAGGUUAAACUCAAAGGAAUUGACGGUGACUUAUACAAGG
This 354-nucleotide ribosomal RNA is filed under the name Physarum bitectum. Its description in RNAcentral is "SSU rRNA". It matches the Rfam family "Bacterial small subunit ribosomal RNA", at positions 570 to 930 of the family's 1533-position model. The record is from RNAcentral. Lineage: Eukaryota; Evosea; Eumycetozoa; Physariida; Physaraceae.